Pezoporus flaviventris is the source of this 1327-nucleotide long non-coding RNA. RefSeq lists it as uncharacterized. The transcript has 3 exons. The record is from RefSeq and is a predicted model, not a curated record. Lineage: Eukaryota; Metazoa; Chordata; Aves; Psittaciformes; Psittacidae.
AUUAAUCCUCAGACAUUAAUGAGAAAUUAGCACAGCCGUGACUCAGAAGAGGGAUAUUAAGCAGGAAAACUUGAGAGAUCGGAAAUGGCUUAGUUCUCAGCAGAAAGGUAACCUCACAACCUCAAGGGAAAGGGUACCUGUGUCCUGUUAGAGCUGGUGACCCUGAUGGAGCAGGAAGAGCAAUACCUGGAGAGAUGCUGAGCUCCUAUGCAUGCUCACCUCCUGCCCCUCCUGCCUGACAGCCUGCUCUGACCUGACCAUGAGGACUGCAGAGCCCUUCCACACCUGCAGGUUAGAGAUUAUAAAGGCACAACAACAGGGAGGCAAAUACCAGACUUAUUUUCAGUUUGUGGGAGGUUUUACAGGAGCCUAGCUUUGCAGUUGACUCUGCAUCUGACUUGACCUUCAGAUACCAGGGAGUCAAGAUGAACUGCAAAUAUGCAUCCAAAGACAGGUUUUGGCUCUCUGCCUCGUGUCUAAAGCACUUUGCAUUGUCUCUGAGUGAUAACACACUUACAUGACAACAGAAUAUAUUUCAAGAUAACAUUAAAGAUGUGAUCCACAGAAACUUUGCUAUCAAAAUAUAGACUGGAAGGUCUGGAAAAAUAAUCUACAUUCUGAACUGGGCUUUCAGACCGACAGGACCUCUAAAAUGGUCAGCCACAAAAUCCACACAAAGCUCACUGCAUACUGGACAAGGACAUGGGAAGCACUGGCUAGCUUGAUGGGACUGACCAGCAUGUAAACCUGGGAUGGUGCUACUGAAGUUGGAGUUACCCCUCCUGGGUGCUGUUAACCCAGGAGAUUGCACUGACCAUCUGUCCACCCCAUGGUCAAUCCCACAGCCCUGUAGGCAUUCCUUUGGCAGGUGCCAAAGGAACAUAUUGCUGGUGGACAGGAACAUCUGCCAUGUGCUGCAGGAAUUUAACUGAAAGGGAAUCUCAAGUAAGGAUGCUGCAUUUCCAGGUCACACACUUGGACGAUACAGCUGUGUAGGGUACACAUUGAAAAGUCACUUGCACACGCAUGCUGUUAGCUCCACAGCAGCACUGGGGGCCAGCGUGACUACCCCUAAGAGGCACGGAAACCUCUAGGAGCAAAUUAAAACUUGCCUCAAAACCAAUGCUGAAGGCAAUUCACAAGUAAUUGGCUAAAAUCACCUGGCAAGAAUACCUGUCUCUACAUGUGGGCCACAAAAUCUAUAGACGAGACUAGUAAGCAUCGGCACGGGCAGUGUGGCACAGCAAAAACAUGUUUAAUCAGCUUGCAUCUUGAGCUUUAAGUCACUUAAACAACGUGGAGACCCCUAAUCAAGCCUUUUUUUUAA